CCUACGGGUGGCAGCAGUGGGGAAUAUUGCACAAUGGGCGCAAGCCUGAUGCAGCCAUGCCGCGUGUGUGAAGAAGGCCUUCGGGUUGUAAAGCACUUUCAGCGGGGAGGAAGGCGGUGAGGUUAAUAACCUCAUCGAUUGACGUUACCCGCAGAAGAAGCACCGGCUAACUCCGUGCCAGCAGCCGCGGUAAUACGGAGGGUGCAAGCGUUAAUCGGAAUUACUGGGCGUAAAGCGCACGCAGGCGGUCUGUCAAGUCGGAUGUGAAAUCCCCGGGCUCAACCUGGGAACUGCAUUCGAAACUGGCAGGCUAGAGUCUUGUAGAGGGGGGUAGAAUUCCAGGUGUAGCGAUGAAAUGCGUAAAGAUCUGGAGGAAUACCGGUGGCGAAGGCGGCCCCCUGGACAAAGACUGACGCUCAGGUGCGAAAGCGUGGGGAGCAAACAGGAUUAGAUACCCUUGUAGUC
This 465-nucleotide ribosomal RNA is filed under the name uncultured Klebsiella sp. RNAcentral's name for it is "bacterial SSU rRNA". It matches the Rfam family "Bacterial small subunit ribosomal RNA", at positions 338 to 795 of the family's 1533-position model. The record is from RNAcentral. Lineage: Bacteria; Pseudomonadati; Pseudomonadota; Gammaproteobacteria; Enterobacterales; Enterobacteriaceae.